This 900-nucleotide ribosomal RNA is filed under the name Escherichia coli. RNAcentral describes it as "partial 23S ribosomal RNA". It matches the Rfam family "Bacterial large subunit ribosomal RNA", at positions 2031 to 2925 of the family's 2925-position model. The record is from RNAcentral. Lineage: Bacteria; Pseudomonadati; Pseudomonadota; Gammaproteobacteria; Enterobacterales; Enterobacteriaceae.
ACUCAGUGAAAUUGAACUCGCUGUGAAGAUGCAGUGUACCCGCGGCAAGACGGAAAGACCCCGUGAACCUUUACUAUAGCUUGACACUGAACAUUGAGCCUUGAUGUGUAGGAUAGGUGGGAGGCUUAGAAGUGUGGACGCCAGUCUGCAUGGAGCCGACCUUGAAAUACCACCCUUUAAUGUUUGAUGUUCUAACGUUGACCCGUAAUCCGGGUUGCGGACAGUGUCUGGUGGGUAGUUUGACUGGGGCGGUCUCCUCCUAAAGAGUAACGGAGGAGCACGAAGGUUGGCUAAUCCUGGUCGGACAUCAGGAGGUUAGUGCAAUGGCAUAAGCCAGCUUGACUGCGAGCGUGACGGCGCGAGCAGGUGCGAAAGCAGGUCAUAGUGAUCCGGUGGUUCUGAAUGGAAGGGCCAUCGCUCAACGGAUAAAAGGUACUCCGGGGAUAACAGGCUGAUACCGCCCAAGAGUUCAUAUCGACGGCGGUGUUUGGCACCUCGAUGUCGGCUCAUCACAUCCUGGGGCUGAAGUAGGUCCCAAGGGUAUGGCUGUUCGCCAUUUAAAGUGGUACGCGAGCUGGGUUUAGAACGUCGUGAGACAGUUCGGUCCCUAUCUGCCGUGGGCGCUGGAGAACUGAGGGGGGCUGCUCCUAGUACGAGAGGACCGGAGUGGACGCAUCACUGGUGUUCGGGUUGUCAUGCCAAUGGCACUGCCCGGUAGCUAAAUGCGGAAGAGAUAAGUGCUGAAAGCAUCUAAGCACGAAACUUGCCCCGAGAUGAGUUCUCCCUGACCCUUUAAGGGUCCUGAAGGAACGUUGAAGACGACGACGUUGAUAGGCCGGGUGUGUAAGCGCAGCGAUGCGUUGAGCUAACCGGUACUAAUGAACCGUGAGGCUUAACCUU